RNAcentral lists this transfer RNA (72 nucleotides) under Ictidomys tridecemlineatus (thirteen-lined ground squirrel). Its description in RNAcentral is "Spermophilus tridecemlineatus (thirteen-lined ground squirrel) tRNA". It matches the Rfam family "tRNA". From Rfam's summary of the family: Transfer RNA (tRNA) molecules are approximately 80 nucleotides in length. Their secondary structure includes four short double-helical elements and three loops (D, anti-codon, and T loops). The record is from Rfam by way of RNAcentral. Lineage: Eukaryota; Metazoa; Chordata; Mammalia; Rodentia; Sciuridae.
UGGGGUGUAGCUCAGUGGUAGAGCACUUGCCUUGCACAUGUGAGGCACUGGGUUCUAUUCUCAGCACCACAU